RNAcentral lists this ribosomal RNA (430 nucleotides) under Pseudomonadota bacterium. RNAcentral's name for it is "Proteobacteria bacterium partial 16S ribosomal RNA". It matches the Rfam family "Bacterial small subunit ribosomal RNA", at positions 355 to 776 of the family's 1533-position model. Lineage: Bacteria; Pseudomonadati; Pseudomonadota. The record is from RNAcentral.
UGGGGAAUAUUGGACAAUGGGGGGAACCCUGAUCCAGCCAUGCCGCGUGUGUGAAGAAGGCCUUAUGGUUGUAAAGCACUUUAAGCGAGGAGGAGGGUACUGGUAUUAAUACUACCAGCUACUGGACGUUACUCGCAGAAUAAGCACCGGCUAACUCUGUGCCAGCAGCCGCGGUAAUACAGAGGGUGCGAGCGUUAAUCGGAUUUACUGGGCGUAAAGCGUGCGUAGGCGGCUAAUUGAGUCGGAUGUGAAAUCCCCGAGCUUAACUUGGGAAGUGCAUUCGAUACUGGUUAGCUAGAGUGUGGGAGAGGAUGGUAGAAUUCCAGGUGUAGCGGUGAAAUGCGUAGAGAUCUGGAAGAAUACCGAUGGCGAAGGCAGCCAUCUGGCCUAACACUGACGCUGAGGUACGAAAGCAUGGGGAGCAAACAGG